UACGGAGGGUGCGAGCGUUGUCCGGAAUCACUGGGCGUAAAGGGCGCGUAGGCGGCACUGUUAGUCAGGCGUGAAAUUCCUGGGCUCAACCUGGGGACUGCGCUUGAUACGGCAGAGCUUGAGGAUGGAAGAGGGUCGCGGAAUUCCCAGUGUAGAGGUGAAAUUCGUAGAUAUUGGGAAGAACACCGGUGGCGAAGGCGGCGACCUGGUCCAUUACUGACGCUGAGGCGCGACAGCGUGGGGAGCAAACAGG
RNAcentral lists this ribosomal RNA (253 nucleotides) under uncultured bacterium. RNAcentral's name for it is "partial 16S ribosomal RNA". It matches the Rfam family "Bacterial small subunit ribosomal RNA", at positions 524 to 776 of the family's 1533-position model. The record is from RNAcentral.